UUGAUUGAUUCAAUCGUGACUCGGACGCAGAGAUGCAGCGUUGUGCGGUCCGCCGGGGGCCCCGACGCCCGAAGGCCGGGUCGCCCCCGAGGCAACUGGGUCGGAUAACAUGGGGUGGGAGGUCGGGCCCGGGGGGCCCUCGCUCGGUAAUGAUCCCUCCGCAGGUUCACCUACGGAGA
Molecule: unclassified non-coding RNA, 179 nt
Filed under: uncultured fungus
Lineage: Eukaryota; Fungi
Description: sequence contains ITS1
Source: RNAcentral